Molecule: non-coding RNA, 87 nt
Organism: Potamilus streckersoni
Lineage: Eukaryota; Metazoa; Mollusca; Bivalvia; Unionida; Unionidae
Source: the annotation of a GenBank genome assembly
GACACCCAGUGGCCUAAGUGGUUAGAGUAUCUGCCUCAAAUGCAUGUGGGUUUGAAUUGGUCGUGGGUUUGAAUCCCCACUGAGUCA